RNAcentral lists this ribosomal RNA (855 nucleotides) under Trichoderma harzianum. RNAcentral's name for it is "eukaryotic LSU rRNA". It matches the Rfam family "Eukaryotic large subunit ribosomal RNA", at positions 107 to 981 of the family's 3401-position model. Lineage: Eukaryota; Fungi; Ascomycota; Sordariomycetes; Hypocreales; Hypocreaceae. The record is from RNAcentral.
GUUUCAAAUUUGAAAUCUGGUCCCUAGGGCCCGAGUUGUAAUUUGUAGAGGAUGCUUUUGGUGAGGUGCCGCCCGAGUUCCCUGGAACGGGACGCCACAGAGGGUGAGAGCCCCGUCUGGCUGGCCGCCGAGCCUCUGUAAAGCUCCUUCGACGAGUCGAGUAGUUUGGGAAUGCUGCUCAAAAUGGGAGGUAUAUGUCUUCUAAAGCUAAAUAUUGGCCAGAGACCGAUAGCGCACAAGUAGAGUGAUCGAAAGAUGAAAAGCACCUUGAAAAGAGGGUUAAAUAGUACGUGAAAUUGUUGAAAGGGAAGCGCUUGUGACCAGACUUGGGCGCGGCGGAUCAUCCGGGGUUCUCUCCGGUGCACUUCGCCGCGUCUAGGCCAGCAUCAGUUCGUCGCGGGGGAAAAAGGCUUCGGGAACGUGGCUCCUCCGGGAGUGUUAUAGCCCGUUGCAUAAUACCCUGCGGUGGACUGAGGACCGCGCAUCUGCAAGGAUGCUGGCGUAAUGGUCACCAGCGACCCGUCUUGAAACACGGACCAAGGAGUCGUCUUCGUAUGCGAGUGUUCGGGUGUCAAACCCCUACGCGUAAUGAAAGUGAACGCAGGUGAGAGCUUCGGCGCAUCAUCGACCGAUCCUGAUGUUCUCGGAUGGAUUUGAGUAAGAGCAUACGGGGCCGGACCCGAAAGAAGGUGAACUAUGCCCUGUAUAGGGGUGAAGCCAGAGGAAACUCUGGUGGAGGCUCGCAGCGGGUUCUGACGUGCAAAAUCGAUCGUCAAAAUAUGGGCAUGGGGGGCGAAAAGACUAAUCGAACCUUCUAGUUAGCUGGUUUUCCGCCGAAAGUUUCCUUCAAGAAGU